Molecule: ribosomal RNA, 548 nt
Filed under: uncultured bacterium
Lineage: Bacteria
Description: bacterial SSU rRNA
Rfam family: Bacterial small subunit ribosomal RNA
Source: RNAcentral
GCUGCAGUUAACGCAAUAAGUUCUCCGCCUGGGGAGUAUGCACGCAAGUGUGAAACUCAAAGGAAUUGACGGGGGCCCGCACAAGCGGUGGAGUAUGUGGUUUAAUUCGAAGCAACGCGAAGAACCUUACCAGGCCUUGACAUGGAUAUAAAUGUUCUAGAGAUAGAAAGAUAGCUAUAUAUCACACAGGUGGUGCAUGGUUGUCGUCAGCUCGUGUCGUGAGAUGUUGGGUUAAGUCCCGCAACGAGCGCAACCCUUGUCUUCUGUUACCAGCAUUAGGUUGGGGACUCAGGAGAGACUGCCGGUGACAAACCGGAGGAAGGUGGGGAUGACGUCAAAUCAUCAUGCCCCUUAUGGCCUGGGCUACACACGUACUACAAUGGCGCCUACAAAGAGCAGCGACACCGCGAGGUGGAGCGAAUCUCAUAAAGGGCGUCUCAGUUCGGAUUGAAGUCUGCAACUCGACUUCAUGAAGUCGGAAUCGCUAGUAAUCGCAGAUCAGCAUGCUGCGGUGAAUACGUUCUCGGGCCUUGCACUCACCGCCCGUC